ACACUUUUAGCUUAAUUGGAUUAGAGCCUUAGUCUUCGAAACUAAUAAUUAUGGGUUCGAAUCCCAUAGAGUGUA
Molecule: transfer RNA, 75 nt
Organism: Smittium mucronatum
Lineage: Eukaryota; Fungi; Kickxellomycota; Harpellomycetes; Harpellales; Legeriomycetaceae
Rfam family: tRNA
About the family: Transfer RNA (tRNA) molecules are approximately 80 nucleotides in length.
Source: Rfam